Molecule: ribosomal RNA, 253 nt
Filed under: uncultured bacterium
Lineage: Bacteria
Description: partial 16S ribosomal RNA
Rfam family: Bacterial small subunit ribosomal RNA
Source: RNAcentral
UACGAAGGGGGCUAGCGUUGCUCGGAAUCACUGGGCGUAAAGCGCACGUAGGCGGAUCUUUAAGUCAGGGGUGAAAUCCUGGAGCUCAACUCCAGAACUGCCUUUGAUACUGAGGGGCUUGAGUCCGGGAGAGGUGAGUGGAACUGCGAGUGUAGAGGUGAAAUUCGUAGAUAUUCGCAAGAACACCAGUGGCGAAGGCGGCUCACUGGCCCGGUACUGACGCUGAGGUGCGAAAGCGUGGGGAGCAAACAGG